Molecule: ribosomal RNA, 253 nt
Filed under: uncultured bacterium
Lineage: Bacteria
Description: partial 16S ribosomal RNA
Rfam family: Bacterial small subunit ribosomal RNA
Source: RNAcentral
GACGAACCGUGCGAACGUUAUUCGGAAUCACUGGGCGUAAAGGGCGCGUAGGCGGCGCGAGUAGUCAACGGUGAAAGCCCGGGGCUCAACCCCGGGUCGGCCGUCGAUACUCUCGUGCUUGAGCACUGUAGAGGCAGGUGGAAUUCCAGGUGUAGCGGUGAAAUGCGUAGAUAUCUGGAGGAAUACCGGUGGCGAAGGCGGCAUCCUGGACCGACAUUGACGCUGAACGGCGAAAGCUAGGGGAGCAAACGGG